UACUUUUUACAUUUUAUAAUCUCAAAAUCUAUGUAUUCUUGAUUUUGAAUCUAGUCAUUGCUGUGAUUGAUUAUGAAUUCUGCUGCACUCUAAAAGAUCAGAAAAUACAAUUGCUUAGAAAAUAGAUUUUAAAUAAUGUAAUGCAGUAAAUGGAUCUUUUUAUUCUUCUUCAUUGUCUUCUUGCUCAGUAAGGCAGUCUUCUUAGGAUCAUGGAUAACUUGUUUCUUUGUGGCUACUGCAAUUGGACCCACAUCUGUCUCAGAGGUGCCUGACAAAAUGGGGAACGGGAGUAGUAUAAGGUACUAUACUACUCCUGCAUGGGUCCCUUUAUCACCCUAAGUGCUACCUCUCUGUUUAGAGCUGUCAUGCCAAGGGUUCCCAGGAGUGAAGUUCUAUUUUCCGUUAAUGUUUUGAGACCAUCCUUAAUUUUGUUUCUCUGUUCACCAGGUUAUCCUUUCCUAUGAUGAUGUUCAGAAUAGGGUGCCCUCAUCACUGAAUCCUUCCACAGAUGAAGAAACUGCUCCCACAACCACUGUAUGGGUUCCCUCCAUUUGGAAGCAACAAUGGACAUGACCCUCACCAAACAACAGCCUCAAGUGAAACGCAGGAAGCUACCCCAAUGAUGUUUGAAGAUUUUACUCGACCUAACUUGGUCAAUCAGAUAAAUUGUGCAGCAGUCUCCUCAGAUUUCCAGUGCCUACAGUUCUUUGAUUUUCUGGAAAGGUAAAGAAAUGCAUUCUGAAGUCAGAAUCAAAAAAGUUCACCUGAGUUUGAUAAUGUUCCUGGAAAUAAGCCAAACCUUGAAAAAAAUCUGAGGGAGGUUUUGAAGUGGCGAGAUGCUCAAGACCAAUCAUUGCUGGGUUGAAGAAGCUUGUAAACCUGCACAAUAUUGCCUUAUGGUGGAAACAAUGCAUAAAUACAGCAGCAGCUGAACAUUUUCCACAGCUACUGAAGUGAAACAUUGAGGAAGAUUCCAGAAUCUGCAGUUCCUUGUGUCUCCAAUGCCUCACAUCUUUACUGAUUUUAUCCAUCUACAUGAUGAUGUAGUCUGGAGAGAUAUUUUACUUCGGAGUCACGUGAGUGACUAUGUGAAGAACCCCGCCAGGACGCAUGGGUGUCAUAUCGCUACAAGCAUUGCAACGAGUCACAGCGGCAGAAUUUAAAAGUCUGGAACAGCAGCAGGGCUGCAGCUACAUCACCAGCAAUGCAAUUGGAUGUUCCAAUGGACCAAAUCCUCAAGACAGCAAGAUGGUCAACGGAGAGAACUUUCCAACGAUUUUAUAAUAAACCAGUCAUUGAACCUGGAACAUUUGCAGAAACACUUUUAACUUCUGUAAUAUGAUUUUACCCCAUAAAUAGGGGCUAUGAUUUGGUGUUAAUAAAUUUUUCGUUGUUUCAAUAUCGUAUUGAUAUCUAAUGAUGUUAACACUAUUCUCCCCAUAAUCAAGGCAGAUGUGAUGCAUGGAAUCGUUUCCACGGCAUGAAAUCACAGAGCUUUAAAAAUCUUCACGUAGUCACUCACGUGACUCCGAAGUAAAAUAGUAAGAUUAAACGAGAACUUACCAGUUUGAAGUUUGAUCGUUAUUUUAUGAGGAGUAACGUUGAGGGAAUACGUGCCCUCUGCUCCCACCCUUGAUCAUAUACUCAACUGGUAUCUCUUCUCUAAUCUUACUAUGUUUAGUCAUUACAGUUAUCUGUGAUUUCACACCGCUGCUUUGAAGAAUGACACGCAUGCGUCCUGGCGGGGUUCUUCACGUAUUCCCUCAACGUUACUCCUCAUAAAAUAACGAUCAAACUUCGAAC
Long non-coding RNA from Leucoraja erinaceus (little skate), 1803 nucleotides. RefSeq lists it as uncharacterized. NCBI's taxonomy places the organism in Eukaryota, Metazoa, Chordata, Chondrichthyes, Rajiformes, Rajidae. The transcript has 4 exons. The record is from RefSeq and is a predicted model, not a curated record.